GAUCAGAUAACACUUCGUCGGUGUGUUGUUUUCCGGUCUAGAACAAUUAGCGAUCUCAUCAUGUGGCGGGAAAGUGCAUUCUUGGAUAUGUGCGGGGAGGAAAAGUUGGUAAUGUUCGUGCUCAUUUGAAAGGAUUGAUAUUAUAUGCAAAUAGAAAAGUGGUAAUUUCUUCAGAUUUUAAAAAUAUGUUUUCUUUGUUUAUAAAUUGAAAUUGCAACAGUAAAAAUGCAUGAUAGUGAUGAAGAAUUUCAAUAUGAUUAUGUCGUUUUGUUGGAUGUUCACAGAACACUUGGCAUAUAUAUAGGAUUAUUCAACAGGAAUGUUAUGUAAAUAGUGUGUUACCGAGUACGGCACCUUUCCUUAGGACGUUCCGCAACACGCGAGUCCGCCAGAGUCACUUGUUUGAAGACGAAUUUGCUGUCGCUGAUGUCAUUGUUUCUAAGACCAACAACUGUCCCGCAACAACGCACCGAGUCUGCGAGUGACAUUUACAACAAGUCCCAGAUGGCGAAAUAUAGAUGAGGAUCCCUGCUGAUUUUCUCAGUGGCCAGUGUGCUGAUCCCGCCACCCCUACACAAGCAAACCCCCGCCGAUCAAACCAAAGCGGGCCCGCACGCAACACGACCCCACCCCGAGCCCCAAACCGCGGAAUCAAUCGAGAUUAGCGCUCCCAAAUCCACCCUCUCGCUGCCUGUGGCAACAGAUAAGUCCAAGAUCGACCAAGGAGCUCCACAGACAUCCAUACCGAUAAUCACGCCGCUUACCGGCAUUUUAUACUUCUGUUUGAGCUACAUUAGCGUUCUCCGGUGUGGUCUAGUGGUUAGGAUUCAUGGUGUUCACCCAGGCGGCCCGGGUACGAUUCCCGGCCCCGGAAAUAUAUUUUUUAGAAUGACUUAUUAAGAAUGAUGUGGGGUCACUCGAAAGAAAACGGUGUAACUUUAUAUUGCCUCGAAUUCUAUCAGUUCGAAGACGCUAUACACCUAACAUUCAUUUGGUAUAGCAGUAUAUUGUAUAGUAUAAAGUUAGCAGAAAAGAAGGUUGUUGCAAACUCCUAGCUAUCUCAAUUAAAUCGGGUUGUGAUCGUCGAGUUAUUUUACCAAUACGACCUGUGUUCGAAACCCGUCAACAUAGUAGUCGUUUUUUUCGAAAAUAUUUUAAUCUAGAUAAAGAAGAUCGUUUCAGAUCAAUCAAAAUAUGAAUUGAUUAAAAAGUCAACAACAAAAUAACAUAUUGAGUAAACAAUCAAAAGUUAAUUUGCAUAUUACAAAUGAAUUGAAUUUCUAUUUUCAGUAUGACUGAAAUUCUUGUUAUUUUUCAUCUUUAUGUAAUCGUAUCAUUUUACAAAUGUAUAUGCAUAGGUGCAGUUUACUGUUCGCUUAAUAUGUAUUGAGUUCACGAUAGCCACGUGCACACGUAUUUGUAAUAGCUUGUUUCAAAAACGUGUACUAAAUAACAUUUAUGUAUAACAAAUUAGAUUAUGUAUUGCAGAGGACCCCUGCUGAUUUUAAUCUUCCGACCUUCUAUAAAUGUCAUGUAACAUACGUACACUCAUGCUACGUGCCUUUAUAUAUUCGUACCAAAACGAUAUUUAGUGAAUUGUUAAGUUGCUUUUAGCUUACGUGAGCACAAUGUGCUCAUGGUGAGCUUUUGUGAUGGCCUUUUGUGCUCGUCCGUCGUGGUCGUGCGGCGUCAGCAUUUGCCUUUUAACACUUAAGAGGCCACAUUUAUUGUACGAUCUUCAUGAAAUUUGCUCAGAAGAGUUGUGCCAAUGAUUUCUUCGACGAUGGUACCGGUUGGUUGAACAACCAAGCCGCCAGGGGGCGGGGCCUUUUUUCUCUAUAUAGCUAUAUUAAAAACUUGUUAACACUCCAAAAGUUACAUUCAUAGUUCACUCUUCAUGAAAUUUGGUCAGAACAUUUGUUCUAAUGAUAUCUUGGGCUGCACUGAAAAGGUCAGUUCCUGUGUAUUUCAGGUGAGCGACUUUGGGCCUUUCAGGCCCUCUUGUUUCGCCUUGAAUGCCCACGGAAUAGUAAUUUAUUUUAUCGAAUACGAUUAUAAUAUGGAUUGAAUAUAAUAGAAAUGAUACAGUUAAAUUAAUCGUUAUUACUAGAAGGUAACAUACAUGAAUCAUUAUAAACAUUGAAAUAAAUCCUUAAUUUAAACAAUUCAUAUCUGUCAAUUCAUUUUUAAUACUUUUAUUAAAUGGUUUGAUUUUCGUAAGUGAAAUUUACCAGCGCACCGACCCAAGGACUCCAAACAUAGAAUCAAAAUUGGUAUGGACUAAGUGCAUCUAAUGACCGGUGUUUGACCAGCGGUAUUCACAACAAUAUCAAUCAUCUGACCACAGCCAACAACUUCUUUUUUCACACAGUCAUCCUGAUCCGGUGUGGUCUAGUGGUUAGGAUUCCUGGUUUUCACCCAGGCGGCCCGGGUUCGAUUCCCGGCACCGGAAGUAUCCUUUUUCAAUUUUGGAAAUAUCAUAAUGUGAUUUAGUUUCGCUUAACUGGAAAGAGAAUAUCAUAGCCUUCCGCUGACGCGAAUCCGGAGACGCUAUAAACAUAAUAUUAAUUUUGUACAGUAGUAUUGGAUCCCUGCAGAUCUUCAACAUAACAACCGUCCAUCAAUGUUAUAUAACAUCGGAA
This is a long non-coding RNA of Dreissena polymorpha, 2642 nucleotides long. RefSeq lists it as uncharacterized. The record is from RefSeq and is a predicted model, not a curated record. The transcript has 4 exons. NCBI's taxonomy places the organism in Eukaryota, Metazoa, Mollusca, Bivalvia, Myida, Dreissenidae.